Peromyscus maniculatus bairdii (prairie deer mouse) is the source of this 1196-nucleotide long non-coding RNA. RefSeq lists it as uncharacterized. The record is from RefSeq and is a predicted model, not a curated record. Lineage: Eukaryota; Metazoa; Chordata; Mammalia; Rodentia; Cricetidae.
GUCUCCAUCUCAGAACUGAGGGACAAUGCUCCAAAACUGUGAGCUUCUCAAAGAUGGUGCUAUAAUUUAUGCUGCUUUCUCUCUUUGGCAGCCUUUAAUGUUCCCAGGCUGACAGGAAUUGUAAAGAAUUACCACGGUUCCUAUCUUCAUGAAGUGAGAUAUGUUACCAAUUACCCAAGUAGCAGAUGGACAAGAUGUCUGGCCUUGGGCAAGUGGAGGUUAAAGAAUUCUUUAUGCUCUAAGGGACUGAACUCCAGUCAGCAAGCUUAGUGAUGCAAGACAAAGCAACCCACGGACAGGUAUUGCCAUCAAAGAUGUAACUCACAGAUAACAGCCACAGUGUUGAUACUGGCCACAUGUCUAGUCACAUAGAGAUGAAAGCACAAUUUUCUGGGACAAAAGUCUAAAGAUAUUUGCUAUCUAUUGACGUGAAAAUGGAAGAACUGAUGUACCUGACUAAAUGAUAAACUAUGCCUGAUGGUAGUAAGGAUGAGUCAAUCCUCACUGCACUCUGUAACAGCAGAGAUGUGAAACUAACCUCCAGGAAGAAAGCAGAGCCUAACAGAACAGAAGCAGUACCUGCAACAAGAUGAGGCUUUCUAAUUUCACUUUCAUUUCCCACAGUUACUACGGGCUCUUUUUUAAAAUCGCUUUUGCUUAAACUAAACACACAAGCAGCUCAUUUAGCAGACACAAUGGAUUAACUGACACUGUCUCUUUGUUAAAUAUACAACUGCUGCUGCCUCUGGCUGUUCCUACCUAAUAAAGAUCCCGAGGCAGCUGAAUGACAAGGCUUCUACUGCCAAUACUUUCAAGAAAACCUAAGAAUGAGAUGGUGAUAAGCUUUAAGAGAAGGCACUCAAGCUGCAAAGAGAGAGAACAUGGGCUCUGUGGGCGCAGGGAUCUUUGCCUUAUGUACUGAUGGAUCAUAACAAGCUGGAGCAGUUUCUUGUGUACAGCAGGUGCUUGAUAAAUGCGUGACACAAGCAAAGGUCUGUUUAUGGUACCCAACAAGAACAAGAGAGACAGCAAGACUUCAUUCCACCUUGAUGCUCCUUGAAGCAUAAAAAAUAUAUAAAAGCCAUAACAAGAAGACUGUUAUAAUUGUUUAUAUGAGGUUUAUGUCAUUUGAACUAGGUAUGGUGGUCAAUGUCUGUAAUUUCAGUGUACAUAAGGCUAAAGCAGUACGACUUGAA